Long non-coding RNA from Cyprinus carpio (common carp), 242 nucleotides. RefSeq lists it as uncharacterized. The record is from RefSeq and is a predicted model, not a curated record. Lineage: Eukaryota; Metazoa; Chordata; Actinopteri; Cypriniformes; Cyprinidae. The transcript is spliced from 2 exons.
CAAAAUUUAAGUCACAAUUUUUUAAUCUUUCCUCCAUACUGCAGAACUUCUGAUAUAAGAAAACAGUGAUGUGCAAAGUUACUAAUCAUCUGACAUUUGGCAUCAGUGGCGUACCGCACAUCUUAAAGGACCCCCCCACAAAGAACGAGAUGGGGCCCCUCCCACCAGCAGUGAUGUCAUGUACGAAAAGUUAUUGUGCACCUGCUGCAAGUAUACUACUGAGUCCGUCUCUCCCAUUUACA